GGGAUUUUUUAAAAUUUUCAAAGUUGUGGUUGCUACUUCUGGCUCUUCUGGGAAUAUGCAUCCAGGCUGCCUUGAAGUUAGCAGAACUGAAGAAGAAAAGUUGAAGCAGAGACUGUAACAAAACAAAUGGACUCACACCAGUCUCAACUCUGCCCCUGAACACAGCAGUUCCUUAAGAGUACUGCUCUCCUUCAGCAACGUACAGGGGCAGAAAACAGACUGAACGGGAAAGCCCUGAGAAACACUGGUCAAGGGACUCCCUCCCUGAUUGUUGAGUUAGGACCCAAUAAAUGUGCAUCCAGAGGUAAGUGGGGCCAGAUUGCAGAAUUGCCAUCAGCCAGUGCAGGCUCUCUGUCCCCCAUCUUUGCCUUUCCUCAUGGCAGAGUUUCCUGAUGUUAUCCUGCCCCUGUUCCACCUCUGUGUAUUGGAGGGAAACAUCAUU
Long non-coding RNA from Cervus elaphus (red deer), 442 nucleotides. RefSeq lists it as uncharacterized. Lineage: Eukaryota; Metazoa; Chordata; Mammalia; Artiodactyla; Cervidae. The record is from RefSeq and is a predicted model, not a curated record. The transcript has 4 exons.